Molecule: ribosomal RNA, 396 nt
Filed under: uncultured bacterium
Lineage: Bacteria
Description: partial 16S ribosomal RNA
Rfam family: Bacterial small subunit ribosomal RNA
Source: RNAcentral
AUACGUAGGUGGCAAGCGUUGUCCGGAAUUAUUGGGCGUAAAGCGCAUGUAGGCGGUUUGGUAAGUCGGUUGUGAAAAUGCGGUGCUUAACGCCGUAUGGCGAUUCAAAAUGGUGAACUUUGGGGCAGGGGGAGAAAGGGGGACUCCCAGGGUAGAGGGGAAAAGGGUAGAUAUUGGGAAGAACACCGGUGGCGAAGGCGCCUUUCUGGACUGUGUCUGACGCUCAGAUGCGAAAGCCAGGGUAGCGAACGGGAUUAGAUACCCCGGUAGUCCUGGCCGUAAACGAUGGGUACUAGGUGUGGGAGGUAUCGACUCCUUCCGUGCCGGAGUUAACGCAAUAAGUACCCCGCCUGGGGAGUACGGCCGCAAGGCUUAAACUCAAAGGAAUUGACGGGG